RNAcentral lists this ribosomal RNA (254 nucleotides) under uncultured bacterium. Its description in RNAcentral is "partial 16S ribosomal RNA". It matches the Rfam family "Bacterial small subunit ribosomal RNA", at positions 524 to 776 of the family's 1533-position model. The record is from RNAcentral.
GACGAACCGUGCGAACGUUAUUCGGAAUCACUGGGCUUAAAGCGCGCGCAGGCGGGGCGGCACGUCGGUCGCUGAAAUCCCCCGGCUCAACCGGGGAACGGGCGCCGAAACGACCGCCCUGGAGGGGCGUAGGGGGAUCGGGAACUUCCGGUGGAGCGGUGAAAUGCGUUGAGAUCGGAAGGAACGCCCGCGGCGAAAGCGCGGUCCUGGACGCCUACUGACGCUGAGGCGCGAAAGCCAGGGGAGCAAACGGG